RNAcentral lists this unclassified non-coding RNA (253 nucleotides) under Candidatus Campbelliibacteriota bacterium. RNAcentral describes it as "Candidatus Campbellbacteria bacterium contains 16S-23S intergenic spacer region". It matches the Rfam family "Bacterial small subunit ribosomal RNA", at positions 524 to 776 of the family's 1533-position model. Lineage: Bacteria; Candidatus Campbelliibacteriota. The record is from RNAcentral.
UACAGAGACCCCAAGCGUUAUCCGGAAUUAUUGGGCGUAAAGGGUGCGUAGGUUGUUUUGUUAGUCUUCUGUUAAAGUCCGAGGCUUAACCUCGGGUUCACAGAGGAAACGGCAAGACUAGAGAGUGGGAGAGGUUUGUGGAACCCAUAGUGUAGGGGUGAAAUCCGUUGAUAUUAUGGGGAACACCGAAGGCGAAGGCAACAAACUGGCCCAUUUCUGACACUGAGGCACGAAACCCUGGGUAGCGAAAGGG